AAAGCGAGCGGCGGAUGGGUGAGUAACACGUGGGGAACCUGCCCCAUAGUCUGGGAUACCACUUGGAAACAGGUGCUAAUACCGGAUAAGAAAGCAGAUCGCAUGAUCAGCUUUUAAAAGGCGGCGUAAGCUGUCGCUAUGGGAUGGCCCCGCGGUGCAUUAGCUAGUUGGUAAGGUAAAGGCUUACCAAGGCGAUGAUGCAUAGCCGAGUUGAGAGACUGAUCGGCCACAUUGGGACUGAGACACGGCCCAAACUCCUACGGGAGGCAGCAGUAGGGAAUCUUCCACAAUGGACGCAAGUCUGAUGGAGCAACGCCGCGUGAGUGAAGAAGGUUUUCGGAUCGUAAAGCUCUGUUGUUGGUGAAGAAGGAUAGAGGUAGUAACUGGCCUUUAUUUGACGGUAAUCAACCAGAAAGUCACGGCUAACUACGUGCCAGCAGCCGCGGUAAUACGUAGGUGGCAAGCGUUGUCCGGAUUUAUUGGGCGUAAAGCGAGCGCAGGCGGAAGAAUAAGUCUGAUGUGAAAGCCCUCGGCUUAACCGAGGAACUGCAUCGGAAACUGUUUUUCUUGAGUGCAGAAGAGGAGAGUGGAACUCCAUGUGUAGCGGUGGAAUGCGUAGAUAUAUGGAAGAACACCAGUGGCGAAGGCGGCUCUCUGGUCUGCAACUGACGCUGAGGCUCGAAAGCAUGGGUAGCGAACAGGAUUAGAUACCCUGGUAGUCCAUGCCGUAAACGAUGAGUGCUAAGUGUUGGGAGGUUUCCGCCUCUCAGUGCUGCAGCUAACGCAUUAAGCACUCCGCCUGGGGAGUACGACCGCCAAGGUUGAAACUCAAAGGAAUUGACGGGGGCCCGCACAAGCGGUGGA
This 864-nucleotide ribosomal RNA is filed under the name uncultured bacterium. RNAcentral's name for it is "bacterial SSU rRNA". It matches the Rfam family "Bacterial small subunit ribosomal RNA", at positions 88 to 936 of the family's 1533-position model. The record is from RNAcentral.